RNAcentral lists this ribosomal RNA (457 nucleotides) under Granulicatella adiacens. RNAcentral describes it as "bacterial SSU rRNA". It matches the Rfam family "Bacterial small subunit ribosomal RNA", at positions 28 to 474 of the family's 1533-position model. The record is from RNAcentral. Lineage: Bacteria; Bacillati; Bacillota; Bacilli; Lactobacillales; Carnobacteriaceae.
GACGAACGCUGGCGGCGUGCCUAAUACAUGCAAGUCGAACGAGAGCGACCGGUGCUUGCACUGGUCAAUCUAGUGGCGAACGGGUGAGUAACACGUGGGUAACCUGCCCAUCAGAGGGGGAUAACAUUCGGAAACGGAUGCUAAAACCGCAUAGGUCCUUUAACCGCAUGGUUGAAGGAGGAAAAGAGGCGCAAGCUUCUGCUGAUGGAUGGACCCGCGGUGCAUUAGCUAGUUGGUGAGGUAACGGCUCACCAAGGCCGUGAUGCAUAGCCGACCUGAGAGGGUGAUCGGCCACAUUGGGACUGAGACACGGCCCAAACUCCUACGGGAGGCAGCAGUAGGGAAUCUUCCGCAAUGGACGCAAGUCUGACGGAGCAACGCCGCGUGAGUGAAGAAGGUUUUCGGAUCGUAAAACUCUGUUGUUAGAGAAGAACAAGUGCUAGAGUAACUGUUAGCG